GCUGCCUCUUAUGUAUUGUAGGCAGUGCCUGAUGGCUGAGAAGAAUCGCGGAGGACUAGAAAAGGUUUGAGUCUGAAAUUAUCUGCCACAGAGAGUUAGAGCUCAGAAAUAAGUUAUUGUGAAACAGUUCAACUUCCAUGUUAACGACAACGACAAUAACAACAACACGCUUAUUAAUUCCUAGCUGGAGCAUCAAGCUUAUGAAGAUUUCCAAGUAAGACUUUAUUGUUGACCCUUGUUGAAGAGAACUCUACUUGGCUUCGUUCCUGGCUUUCCUAAAUUGUUCACAUACAAGAUAAACUACCAUCAUUCAGACUUACAGAAGUGAGAAGACAAGCUGAACCAAAUGUAAAAUGGUAGCAAUUUACAGGUAAUUCUAUAUCUUAAUUUCUCCCACAUUUUUAGGGUAAGAAAUUGUGAUAUAUGGGGGUUAUUUGGAUCACGCGUUUUCUAAGUAAAACUUUGUCGUGAUUAAUUUUAUGUAUUUAUAGUAGUUCUCCCUGUGUCCGUUUAUCCAAGCAACACAAUACAAUUGAAUUCAUAUGCAUUUCAAAAUAGACUCCAUUUGAUUUACCGUGUAAAUACAACCACCAAGGAAUAUAGAGGUAUGACGAUCAGGAGUGAGAAAUAAAAGUAUUUCUGGAUAGAGGAUGAA
Molecule: non-coding RNA, 655 nt
Filed under: Pongo abelii (Sumatran orangutan)
Lineage: Eukaryota; Metazoa; Chordata; Mammalia; Primates; Hominidae
Source: RNAcentral